GACGAACGCUGGCGGCGUGCUUAACACAUGCAAGUCGAACGGAAAGGCCCUGCUUUUGUGGGGUGCUCGAGUGGCGAACGGGUGAGUAACACGUGAGUGACCUGCCCUUGACUUUGGGAUAACUUCAGGAAACUGGGGCUAAUACCGGAUAGGAGCUCCUGCUGCAUGGUGGGGGUUGGAAAGUUUCGGCGGUUGGGGAUGGACUCGCGGCUUAUCAGCUUGUUGGUGGGGUAGUGGCUUACCAAGGCUUUGACGGGUAGCCGGCCUGAGAGGGUGACCGGCCACAUUGGGACUGAGAUACGGCCCAGACUCCUACGGGAGGCAGCAGUGGGGAAUAUUGCACAAUGGGCGGAAGCCUGAUGCAGCAACGCCGCGUGCGGGAUGACGGCCUUCGGGUUGUAAGCCGCUUUCGCCUGUGACGAAGCGUGAGUGACGGUAAUGGGUAAAGAAGCACCAGCUAACUACGUG
RNAcentral lists this ribosomal RNA (468 nucleotides) under uncultured bacterium. RNAcentral's name for it is "partial 16S ribosomal RNA". It matches the Rfam family "Bacterial small subunit ribosomal RNA", at positions 28 to 507 of the family's 1533-position model. The record is from RNAcentral.